AUGCUUUCCCGUCUCCUCCCACGCCGCCACCACCGUCGCCUCCUCCAAACCCUACAACCGGCAGCCGCCGCCGCGGGUGAACUCCACCAGAGGUUGUGCUCUACCGCGGCGGCAUCGAGCCCAAGCCUUUCGAUAUGGCGGCGGAAGAAGGAGAUGGGGAAGGAAGGCCUCAUGGCGGUCGCGCAGCUCAAGCGGCUCGCGGCGCUACCCCCUGCCGGAGGCCACCAGAGGCUGGUGGAGUACAUGAAAUUGCAUGUGUCUCGGCUCCUCCGCACCGACCUCCUCGCCGUCCUCGCUGAACUGCUCCGCCAGGACCACGUCAUCCUCUCCAUGAAGAUAUAUGGCGUUGUGAGGAGAGAGAUCUGGUAUCGGCCAGAUAUGUACUUGUACCGAGACAUGCUACAUAUGCUAGCUAGAAACAAGAAGGUUGACGAGACAAGGCAGGUCUGGGCAGAUCUGAAGUCUGAAGGAGUGCUGUUUGAUCAGCACACUUACGGUGAUAUCGUGCGAGUCUUCUGCGAUGCCGGCUUGAUUGACCUGGCAAUGGAAUUCUACGAAGACAUGAGGAGCUCCCCGGAGCCACCUCUGUCCUUGCCAUUCCGGGUUAUACUGAAAGGCCUGAUCCCAUACCCGGAGCUGAGGGAGAAGAUAAAACAAGAUUUUCUGGAACUUUUCCCUGAUAUGAUUGUGUAUGAUCCCCCGGAUAGCUUGUCCGAUAUAGAUGAUGAAUUCAGAUUUUGA
RNAcentral lists this ribosomal RNA (741 nucleotides) under Triticum aestivum (bread wheat). RNAcentral describes it as "partial small subunit ribosomal RNA". The record is from RNAcentral. Lineage: Eukaryota; Viridiplantae; Streptophyta; Magnoliopsida; Poales; Poaceae.